This 248-nucleotide ribosomal RNA is filed under the name uncultured bacterium. RNAcentral describes it as "partial 16S ribosomal RNA". It matches the Rfam family "Archaeal small subunit ribosomal RNA", at positions 473 to 720 of the family's 1478-position model. The record is from RNAcentral.
AUACCGGCGGCUCGAGUGGUGGCCACUAUUACUGGGCUUAAAGCGUCCGUAGCUUGGUUGUUAAGUCUCCUGGGAAAUCCAUCGGCUCAACCGAUGGGCGUUCAGGAGAUACUGGCAACCUAGGGACCGGGAGAGGUGAGAGGUACUCCAGGGGUAGGAGUGAAAUCCUGUAAUCCUUGGGGGACCACCUGUGGCGAAGGCGUCUCACUAGAACGGCUCCGACAGUGAGGGACGAAAGCUGGGGGAGC